CCUACGGGGGGCAGCAGUAGGGAAUAUUGCUCAAUGGGGGAAACCCUGAAGCAGCAACGCCGCGUGGAGGAUGAAGGUUUUCGGAUUGUAAACUCCUUUUGUUAGAGAAGAUAAUGACGGUAUCUAACGAAUAAGCACCGGCCAACUCCGUGCCAGCAGCCGCGGUAAUACGGAGGGUGCAAGCGUUAGUCGGAAUCACUGGGGGUAAAGGGGGCGUAGGCGGGAUAGCAAGUCAGAAGUGGAAGCCCAUGGCUUAACCAUAGAACUGCAUUUGAAACUGUUAUUCUAGAGUAUGGGAGAGGUAGGUGGAAUUCUUGGUGUAGCGGUAAAAUCCGUAGAGAUCAAGAGGAAUACUCAUUGCGAAGGCGACUUACUAGAACAUAACUGACGCUGAGGCGCGAAAGCGUGGGGAGCAAACAGGAUUAGAUACCCGGGUAGUC
Molecule: ribosomal RNA, 440 nt
Filed under: uncultured bacterium
Lineage: Bacteria
Description: partial 16S ribosomal RNA
Rfam family: Bacterial small subunit ribosomal RNA
Source: RNAcentral